GCCCUUAUAGCUCAGUGGUAGAGCGCAUCACUAGUAUGACGUCAGCUUAGCUGCUUAUGAAAUGAUGAGGUCCUCUGUUCGACCCAGAGUGAGGGCA
RNAcentral lists this transfer RNA (97 nucleotides) under Rhizoctonia solani 123E. It matches the Rfam family "tRNA". From Rfam's summary of the family: Transfer RNA (tRNA) molecules are approximately 80 nucleotides in length. Lineage: Eukaryota; Fungi; Basidiomycota; Agaricomycetes; Cantharellales; Ceratobasidiaceae. The record is from Rfam by way of RNAcentral.